RNAcentral lists this ribosomal RNA (408 nucleotides) under uncultured bacterium. RNAcentral's name for it is "bacterial SSU rRNA". It matches the Rfam family "Bacterial small subunit ribosomal RNA", at positions 28 to 419 of the family's 1533-position model. The record is from RNAcentral.
AAUCAACGCUGGCGGCGUGCCUAACACAUGCAAGUCGAGCGGGAAAGGGGGCUUCGGCCCCUGAGUAUAGCGGCGGACGGGUGAGUAACACGUGGGUAAUUUGCCCUUGGGUGUGGAAUAACUCAGGGAAACUUGAGCUAAUACCGCAUGGCAUCCCCUUCACACACGAGUCGGGGAUCAAGGCCGGGGACCCUUCGGGGCCUGGCGCCUGAGGAGAAGCCCGCGCCCGAUUAGCUAGUUGGGAGGUAAUGGCUCACCAAGGCUUCGAUCGGUAGCCGGCCUGAGAGGGCGGACGGCCACACUGGGACUGAGACACGGCCCAGACUCCUACGGGAGGCAGCAGUGGGGAAUUUUUGUCAAUGGGGGAAACCCUGAACAAGCAACGCCGCGUGGAGGACGACGACCUGG